Molecule: non-coding RNA, 28 nt
Filed under: Cricetulus griseus (Chinese hamster)
Lineage: Eukaryota; Metazoa; Chordata; Mammalia; Rodentia; Cricetidae
Source: RNAcentral
AGAAUUUCAGCUUUGGGUGCUGACGGUG